Molecule: ribosomal RNA, 575 nt
Filed under: uncultured bacterium
Lineage: Bacteria
Description: bacterial SSU rRNA
Rfam family: Bacterial small subunit ribosomal RNA
Source: RNAcentral
CCUACGGGAGGCAGCAGUGAGGAAUAUUGGACAAUGGGCGCAAGCCUGAUCCAGCCAUGCCGCGUGCAGGAAGACGGUCCUAUGGAUUGUAAACUGCUUUUAUACAGGAAGAAACACCUCUACGUGUAGAGACUUGACGGUACUGUAUGAAUAAGCAUCGGCUAACUCCGUGCCAGCAGCCGCGGUAAUACGGAGGAUGCAAGCGUUAUCCGGAAUCAUUGGGUUUAAAGGGUCCGUAGGCGGUUUAAUAAGUCAGUGGUGAAAGCCCAUCGCUCAACGAUGGAACGGCCAUUGAUACUGUUAAACUUGAAUUAUUAGGAAGUAACUAGAAUAUGUAGUGUAGCGGUGAAAUGCUUAGAGAUUACAUGGAAUACCAAUUGCGAAGGCAGGUUACUACUAAUAUAUUGACGCUGAUGGACGAAAGCGUGGGGAGCGAACAGGAUUAGAUACCCUGGUAGUCCACGCCGUAAACGAUGGAUACUAGCUGUUCGGAGCAAUCUGAGUGGCUAAGCGAAAGUGAUAAGUAUCCCACCUGGGGAGUACGUUCGCAAGAAUGAAACUUAAGGAAUUGACGG